Molecule: small nuclear RNA, 127 nt
Filed under: Monopterus albus (swamp eel)
Lineage: Eukaryota; Metazoa; Chordata; Actinopteri; Synbranchiformes; Synbranchidae
Description: U1 spliceosomal RNA (ENSMALG00000013127.1)
Rfam family: U1 spliceosomal RNA
About the family: U1 is a small nuclear RNA (snRNA) component of the spliceosome (involved in pre-mRNA splicing).
Source: RNAcentral
GUAUCUACCUGGCAGGGGAGAUACCAUGAUUAAGAAAGUGGUUCACCCAGGGCGAGGCUGAACUAUUGUAUUUUGGUUGGCUGACCCUUGUGAAAUGUGAAAAUCUUGACUGCAUAAUUUCUGGUGU